Molecule: transfer RNA, 85 nt
Filed under: Escherichia coli
Lineage: Bacteria; Pseudomonadati; Pseudomonadota; Gammaproteobacteria; Enterobacterales; Enterobacteriaceae
Also listed under: 9 other names
Description: tRNA-Tyr
Rfam family: tRNA
About the family: Transfer RNA (tRNA) molecules are approximately 80 nucleotides in length. Their secondary structure includes four short double-helical elements and three loops (D, anti-codon, and T loops). Further hydrogen bonds mediate the characteristic L-shaped molecular structure. tRNAs have two regions of fundamental functional importance: the anti-codon, which is responsible for specific mRNA codon recognition, and the 3' end, to which the tRNAs corresponding amino acid is attached (by aminoacyl-tRNA synthetases). tRNAs cope with the degeneracy of the genetic code in two manners: having more than one tRNA (with a specific anti-codon) for a particular amino acid; and 'wobble' base-pairing, i.e. permitting non-standard base-pairing at the 3rd anti-codon position.
Source: RNAcentral
GGUGGGGUUCCCGAGCGGCCAAAGGGAGUAGACUGUAAAUCUGCCGUCAUCGACUUCGAAGGUUCGAAUCCUUCCCCCACCACCA